GAUGAACGCUGGCGGCGUGCCUAAUACAUGCAAGUCGAGCGAACGGACGAGAAGCUUGCUUCUCUGAUGUUAGCGGCGGACGGGUGAGUAACACGUGGAUAACCUACCUAUAAGACUGGGAUAACUUCGGGAAACCGUAGCUAAUACCGGAUAAUAUUUUGAACCGCAUGGUUCAAAAGUGAAAGACGGUCUUGCUGUCACUUAUAGAUGGAUCCGCGCUGCAUUAGCUAGUUGGUAAGGUAACGGCUUACCAAGGCAACGAUGCAUAGCCGACCUGAGAGGGGGAUCGGCCACAAUGGAACUGAGACACGGUACAGACUCCUACGGGAGGCAGCAGUAGGGAAUCUUCCGCAAUGGGCGAAAGCCUGACGGAGCAAAGCCGCGUGAGUGAUGAAGGUCUUCGGAUCGUAAAACUCUGUUAUUAGGGAAGAACAUAUGUGUAAGUAACUGUGCACAUCUUGACGGUACCUAAUCAGAAAGCCACGGCUAACUACGUG
Molecule: ribosomal RNA, 497 nt
Filed under: uncultured bacterium
Lineage: Bacteria
Description: partial 16S ribosomal RNA
Rfam family: Bacterial small subunit ribosomal RNA
Source: RNAcentral